Molecule: long non-coding RNA, 414 nt
Filed under: Mytilus galloprovincialis (Mediterranean mussel)
Lineage: Eukaryota; Metazoa; Mollusca; Bivalvia; Mytilida; Mytilidae
Source: RNAcentral
UUACAUCUUCUGACAUCAGACUCGGACUUCUCUUGAACUGAAUUUUAAUGUGCGUAUUGUUAUGCGUUUACUUUUCUACAUUGACUAGAGGUAUAGGGGGAGGGUUGAGAUCUCACAAACAUGUUUAACCCUGCCGCAUUUUUGCGCCUGUCCCAAGUCAGGAGCCUCUGGCCUUUGUUAGUCUUGUAUUAUUUUAAUUUUAGUUUCUUUUGUACAAUUUGGAAAUUAGUAUGGCGUUCAUUAUCACUGAACUAGUAUAUAUUUGUUUAGGGGCCAGUUGAAGGACGCCUCCGGGUGCGGGAAUUUCUCGCUACAUUGAAGACCUGUUGGUGACCUUCUGCUGUUGUUUUUUAUUUGGUCGGGUUGUUGUCUCUUUGACACAUUCCCCAUUUCCAUUCUCAAUUUUAUUUUAAU